UACGGGGGGGGGCAAGCGUUGUUCGGAAUUACUGGGCGUAAAGGGCUCGUAGGCGGCCAACUAAGCCAGAUGUGAAAUCCCCCGGGCUCAACCUGGGAAUGGCAUUUGGGACUGCAAGGCUGGAGUUUGGCAGAGGAGACUGGAAUUCCCGGUGUAGCAGUGAAAUGCGUAGAUAUCGGGAGGAAUACCGAUGGCGAAGGCAGGUCUCUGGGCUAUAACUGACGCUCAUGCACGAAAGCGUGGGGAGCAAACAGG
This 255-nucleotide ribosomal RNA is filed under the name uncultured bacterium. RNAcentral's name for it is "partial 16S ribosomal RNA". It matches the Rfam family "Bacterial small subunit ribosomal RNA", at positions 524 to 776 of the family's 1533-position model. The record is from RNAcentral.